Molecule: long non-coding RNA, 102 nt
Organism: Alosa sapidissima (American shad)
Lineage: Eukaryota; Metazoa; Chordata; Actinopteri; Clupeiformes; Clupeidae
Exons: 3
Source: RefSeq, a predicted model, not a curated record
ACGGAAGUCUCUUUUACUUCCUUCUCAUCCUCAAAUCAAGUAACCUUUAAAUGACCAAGUUAGGGGAGUCAGUGAGACACUGUACUCCGUGCCAUUUUCAUC